This 1492-nucleotide ribosomal RNA is filed under the name uncultured bacterium. RNAcentral describes it as "16S ribosomal RNA". It matches the Rfam family "Bacterial small subunit ribosomal RNA". The record is from RNAcentral.
UGAACGCUGGCGGCAGGCCUAACACAUGCAAGUCGAGCGGAAACGGCGGUAUUGAAGCUUCGGUGGAUUUACUGGACGUCGAGCGGCGGACGGGUGAGUAACGGCUGGGAACCUGCCCCGACGAGGGGGAUAACCGUUGGAAACGACGGCUAAUACCGCAUAAUGUCUUGAUUCGUUAGAGUCAGGACCAAAGGUGGCCUCUACAUGUAAGCUAUCGCGUUGGGAUGGGCCCAGUUAGGAUUAGCUAGUUGGUAAGGUAAUGGCUUACCAAGGCAACGAUCCUUAGCUGGUUUGAGAGGAUGAUCAGCCACACUGGGACUGAGACACGGCCCAGACUCCUACGGGAGGCAGCAGUGGGGAAUAUUGCACAAUGGGGGAGACCCUGAUGCAGCCAUGCCGCGUGUGUGAAGAAGGCCUUCGGGUUGUAAAGCACUUUCAGCAGUGAGGAAGGUCGUGUACUUAAUACGUGCACGGCUUGACGUUAGCUGCAGAAGAAGCACCGGCUAACUCCGUGCCAGCAGCCGCGGUAAUACGGAGGGUGCGAGCGUUAAUCGGAAUUACUGGGCGUAAAGCGCAUGCAGGCGGUUUGUUAAGUCAGAUGUGAAAGCCCGGGGCUCAACCUCGGAACCGCAUUUGAAACUGGCAGGCUAGAGUCUUGUAGAGGGGGGUAGAAUUUCAGGUGUAGCGGUGAAAUGCGUAGAGAUCUGAAGGAAUACCAGUGGCGAAAGGCGGCCCCCUGGACAAAGACUGACGCUCAGAUGCGAAAGCGUGGGUAGCAAACAGGAUUAGAUACCCUGGUAGUCCACGCCGUAAACGCUGUCUACUUGGAGGUUGAGGUUUUAGACUUUGGCUUUCGGCGCUAACGCAUUAAGUAGACCGCCUGGGGAGUACGGCCGCAAGGUUAAAACUCAAAUGAAUUGACGGGGGCCCGCACAAGCGGUGGAGCAUGUGGUUUAAUUCGAUGCAACGCGAAGAACCUUACCUACUCUUGACAUCCAGCGAAGCCUUUAGAGAUAGAGGCGUGCCUUCGGGAGCGCUGAGACAGGUGCUGCAUGGCUGUCGUCAGCUCGUGUUGUGAAAUGUUGGGUUAAGUCCCGCAACGAGCGCAACCCUUAUCCUUGUUUGCCAGCACAUAAUGGUGGGAACUCCAGGGAGACUGCCGGUGAUAAACCGGAGGAAGGUGGGGACGACGUCAAGUCAUCAUGGCCCUUACGAGUAGGGCUACACACGUGCUACAAUGGCAGAUACAGAGGGCAGCGAGACAGCGAUGUUUAGCGAAUCCCUUAAAGUUUGUCGUAGUCCGGAUUGGAGUCUGCAACUCGACUCCAUGAAGUCGGAAUCGCUAGUAAUCGUGGAUCAGAGUGCCACGGUGAAUACGUUCCCGGGCCUUGUACACACCGCCCGUCACACCAUGGGAGUGGGCUGCACCAGAAGUAGAUAGCUUAACCUUCGGGAGGGCAAUUUACCACGGUGUGGUUCAUGACUGGGGUGA